AUUGAACGCUGGCGGAAUGCUUUACACAUGCAAGUCGAGCGGCAGCACGGGGGCAACCCUGGUGGCGAGCGGCGAACGGGUGAGUAAUACAUCGGAACAUGCCCAGUCGUGGGGGAUAACACUUCGAAAGAAGUGCUAAUACCGCAUACGUCCUGAGGGAGAAAGCGGGGGAUCGCAAGACCUCGCGCGAUUGGAGUGGCCGAUGUCAGAUUAGCUAGUUGGUGGGGUAAAGGCCUACCAAGGCAACGAUCUGUAGCUGGUCUGAGAGGAUGAUCAGCCACACUGGGACUGAGACACGGCCCAGACUCCUACGGGAGGCAGCAGUGGGGAAUGUUGGACAAUGGGGGCAACCCUGAUCCAGCCAUUCCGCGUGAGUGAAGAAGGCCUUCGGGUUGUAAAGCUCUUUCGGCAGGAACGAAACGGCGAGCUCUAACAUAGCUUGCUAAUGACGGUACCUGAAGAAGAAGCACCGGCUAACUACGUG
This 484-nucleotide ribosomal RNA is filed under the name uncultured bacterium. RNAcentral's name for it is "partial 16S ribosomal RNA". It matches the Rfam family "Bacterial small subunit ribosomal RNA", at positions 30 to 507 of the family's 1533-position model. The record is from RNAcentral.